This is a non-coding RNA of Labrus bergylta (ballan wrasse), 1150 nucleotides long. NCBI's taxonomy places the organism in Eukaryota, Metazoa, Chordata, Actinopteri, Labriformes, Labridae. The record is from RefSeq and is a predicted model, not a curated record.
CCCCACUCUCUCUCUCUCCCUAAAUUAGCUCUAUCCGCUGUCCAAUAAAGGCAGAAAAAGCCCAAAAAUAAAUAUCUCAAGGUCUCUACAUAUCGGGGCUUUAUGUCUGUAGAUAUCAAACUACACAUACGUUUGACACAUCAGCCUCACAUUGUCACAAGUAUCAGGACUCUCUUUCAUCAUUUACACGCAGGUGGACAGCUUCUCUUCUGAUACAACCUUUAAGAAUAAUCAUUUCAACCAUGGACCGAUUUACAAAUAUCAGCUCGUAAAUUUACGACUUUAAUCUCAACAUUUGAGGGAAAAGAUUCUUUAAGGGGUCCCUGAUAAUUGUUCAUUUCAUUCUAACGCUGAAUGACCUCCUGAAACAGAAACCUGUCAACGCUGAAACGACCUGAUGAUGGAACUUGAUGUUCAAAUAAUGAAUAAAAGAAACUGAUUAAAAAGUCUCCUCUGCUUGCAUCGCCUGCUUCUAAAUGAGUAUCAACAAAAACUUUCAUUUCUCUUCAAAGUCCAGCCCGGCGUGAUAAGGGUGUGGGGGUCCAGGUCAGGACCAGAUAAGACCCCCCCCCACCACCCCCCCUUCCUUUUAAACGCUGUCUGGUCAACCCAGAUGUCAUCACGGUAUGCUAAUGAGCCAGGGGGCCUUUAAGUGCCAGAGCCCGGCGUGCAGAGCAGAUAGUCGUCUGUGAACAAGCAGCGGUGAAACGUGAACAUGAGACGGAACAUGUGAGCGAGAGGCAAGACGAUCUGAGCGACGUGGCGUGUAACGGUUAAAAGCACGGCCGGAGCUCGCUGUGUGGGCGCCGUGACGCAUCUUGAGCCCUGGACAGGAUAUCAUCUUAUACUGUAAGUUCAUUAAAGAGACACUACAGUAUAGAUGAUGUACUAUCCAGGGGGUCAUUCGUCCUCAGCAACAGAGACGCGCUGACACCAACACCGCCGCACACGCUGCAGAGGGGGGCCGUCAAACCGUUACCAUUACUGAGUUCCAGUAAUGGUAAGGGUUAUAUGGCCCUCGCUCAAACUCAUCGUGACCACGAGGAUGACAAAGGUCACUUCAUGGGAUAUUCAGGAGCUUCUGGAGGACACGGUUUUAACAAUGUACAUGUGGAUGAAUGUUGAAUAAAGCUGAUGGCGCCCAAACAAA